RNAcentral lists this long non-coding RNA (1717 nucleotides) under Triticum aestivum (bread wheat). RNAcentral's name for it is "long non-coding RNA (TAES_LNC017249)". Lineage: Eukaryota; Viridiplantae; Streptophyta; Magnoliopsida; Poales; Poaceae. The record is from RNAcentral.
GUGCUGAGCACUUGAUAGAAAACAAGUACUGUACGAAAGAAAAGCUUUGCAUCAACGGAAGAAGUGCAGGUGGCCUGUUGAUGGGUGCUGUCCUAAAUAUGAGGCCCGACUUAUUCAAAGCAGCUGUUGCUGGGGUGCCUUUCGUGGAUGUUCUCACAACUAUGCUUGACCCAACUAUCCCGUUGACUACUGCUGAAUGGGAGGUAUUAAUCUCCUGUGUUGCAUUUAUUUUGUUUCCAUGUUUCACUGUUGUAUCAUCACAUUGUACAGUAGCUUCAGUUAGACUUAAAUUAGCCUGGCCUUUGAUCUGAACAAGGCUUGCUUGGUGGGCAUGUCUAAGACUAGGAAAUGAUUGUCGUACUAUAACAUAUAUGUCAUCAAAUUCCUUAUUACAUAGUUUGAAUGCAUAUAGUUUUUAUGCCUUUUAUAUCCUUAUGAUAAAAAAUAAAUAGGAAGCGAAUAAUUUGCGCUGUAUGUAAUCUGUGCAUGCUCAUUGGCCAUGCACGUGCUAUGGUCUUGUUAUGUACUCCCUCUGUAACUUAACAUAACUCGUUUUUUGACACAACGACAAUGUCAAGAAAAGUCUUGUAUUAAGUUACGGAGGGAGUAUUUAUUCUAGGUAUCAACUUUCGUUGCAUUGCGCACCUGCAGUUCUGUUUCUGCUCUCACCAACACAUCCUUUUGUGCCCUUGGUUCAGGAGUGGGGUGAUCCAAGGAAAGAAGAAUACUACUAUUACAUGAAAUCUUAUUCUCCUGUUGAUAACGUAAGUGCUCAUCUUUAUUUUGUGAUAUAUGUGUUUUCUUGCCCCGCAUCGCAUGCUAUCGAGGCUGGCUGCACAAAUGUAUUGACCUGAGAUGCCUGUCCAUCUGCCGCAGGUAAAAGCACAAGACUAUCCCCACAUUCUCGUCACUGCUGGCUUGAACGGUAUGGCCCUUGGAUUCUGAGUUUCUGUUGGCUACCGUUAGCCGUUACACCAGAUUAUACUCACAGCUAACUACUUCGUGACAAACAGAUCCCCGCGUGAUGUACUCGGAGCCUGCUAAGUUCGUGGCGAAGCUGAGGGAGCUCAAGACUGAAAACAACCUCCUGCUGUUCAAGUGCGAGCUCGGCGCCGGGCACUUCUCCAAGUCGGGGAGGUAAAUAAAUAGCAAAGGAGACAUUACUUCUUUGCGCUUGAUUUCUUCUUUUUUGACGUGGCAUGCUGUUAUUACUGCCAAAAGGGAAGUUGUUUUUUCCGGCCUAACUGUUGUUUGUUUUAACUUGCAGGUUUGAGAAGUUGCGAGAAGACGCCUUCACCUAUGCAUUCAUUCUCAAGGCGCUGGGCAUGACUCCUCCAACAACGGCUUCUUCGCUGUGACGUGCGCACAUAUUCGUCGUUGCCUUCAGUAAUUGCAUGGAUUUAAUUUUUUAGACACUUCUUCUGAUUUGCCCAAGAAGGUGGGUAAGAAAGGAAGCCAUUUGAAUUAGGUGUAAGGAAGCCAUUUGAAUUAGGUGUGGCCUGUGAGGGAGUGGACUAGCAACUGAAUCUGUGACACUGUUAUUUGGCAAGAAUGGGAUGACUGAUCCUCUGUUUCGGUAUCGUGGUUUGGUCUGAUGAUGAUAAGGAAGUGCAAUCUCUUUUUGACUUGUGUGUUAGACGUGUGCUGAAGCACAAGAUAGGAAGUGUAAUCCUUGUUUUGCUAUCAUGGUUUGGUUUGAUGUUUGGAAAUCGAACUC